UGGGGGAUAUUGCACAAUGGGCGAAAGCCUGAUGCAGCGACGCCGCGUGGGGGAUGAAGGCUUUCGGGUUGUAAACCUCUUUCGCUAUCGAACAAGGCCCGCUUAGGGUGGGUUGAGGGUAGGUGGAGAAGAAGCGCCGGCUAACUACGUGCCAGCAGCCGCGGUAAUACGUAGGGCGCGAGCGUUGUCCGGAAUUAUUGGGCGUAAAGGGCUUGUAGGCGGCUUGUUGCGCCUGCUGUGAAAACGCGGGGCUUAACUUCGCGCGUGCAGUGGGUAGGGGCAGGCUUGAGUGUGGUAGGGGUGACUGGAAUUCCAGGUGUAGCGGUGGAAUGCGCAGAUAUCUGGAGGAACACCGAUGGCGAAGGCAGGUCACUGGGCCAUUACUGACGCUGAGGAGCGAAAGCAUGGGUAGCGAACAGG
This 420-nucleotide ribosomal RNA is filed under the name bacterium. Its description in RNAcentral is "partial 16S ribosomal RNA". It matches the Rfam family "Bacterial small subunit ribosomal RNA", at positions 355 to 776 of the family's 1533-position model. The record is from RNAcentral.